UAGUUACAAGCCUCCACUAAGGUGAAACCGCGAAUGGCUCAUUAAAUCACACCUAAUGUACUGGAUAGUCUCAGUUACUUGGAUAACUGCGGUAAUUCUGGAGCUAAUACAUGCGCAAAACCGCGACUCACGGAGCGGUGCUUUUAUUAGAUCAAAACCAAACGGCCUCGAGCCGUCCCCCUGGUGAUUCUGAAUAACUUUGGGCUGAUCGCAUGGCCUUGAGCCGGCGACGUAUCCUUCCAAGGUGUGCCCUAUCAACUGUCGACUGUGGCAUAGACGCCCACAGUGGUUUUGACGGGUAACGGGGAAUUAGGGUUCGAUUCCGGAGAGGGAGCCUGAGAAACGGCUACCACUUCUACGGAAGGCAGCAGGCACGCAAAUUACCCACUGGCCGAAGGCCGAGGUAGUGACGAAAAAUAACGAUACCGGACUCAUCCGAGGCCCGGUAAUCGGAAUGAGUACACUUUAAAUCCUUUAACGAGGAACAAUUGGAGGGCAAGUCUGGUGCCAGCAGCCGCGGUAAUUCCAGCUCCAAUAGCGUAUAUUAAAGUUGUUGCGGUUAAAAAGCUCGUAGUUGGAUCUCGGCAGGCAGGGGGUGGUUCGCUCUUAGCGCUACUGCCCCAUUUGCCUGUGUGAUUGGCGGAGGUUUCGGGGUGCUCUUCGUUGAGUGACCCGGGGCGCCGUCAGGUUUACUUUGAAAAAAUUAGAGUGCUCAAAGCAGGCUUUUAUCGCUUGAAUAUUCGUGCAUGGAAUAAUGGAAUAGGAACUCGUUUCUAUUUUGUUGGUUUUCGGAAAUCGAGUUAAUGAUUAAUAGGGACAAUUGGGGGCAUUAGUAUUCAGACGACAGAGGUGAA
RNAcentral lists this ribosomal RNA (854 nucleotides) under Dioithona oculata. Its description in RNAcentral is "SSU rRNA". It matches the Rfam family "Eukaryotic small subunit ribosomal RNA", at positions 60 to 915 of the family's 1831-position model. The record is from RNAcentral. Lineage: Eukaryota; Metazoa; Arthropoda; Copepoda; Cyclopoida; Oithonidae.